This 759-nucleotide ribosomal RNA is filed under the name uncultured bacterium. Its description in RNAcentral is "bacterial SSU rRNA". It matches the Rfam family "Bacterial small subunit ribosomal RNA", at positions 133 to 925 of the family's 1533-position model. The record is from RNAcentral.
GGAGUGGGGAAUAACGCUGGGAAACCGGCGCUAAUACCGCAUAUUCCCGAGAGGGGAAAGCAGCAAUGCGCUCGAGGAGGAGUCCGCGGCCGAUUAGCUAGUUGGUAGGGUAAAAGCCUACCAAGGCUAUGAUCGGUAGCCGGCCUGAGAGGGCACACGGCCACACUGGCACUGAAACACGGGCCAGACUCCUACGGGAGGCAGCAGUGGGGAAUCUUGCACAAUGGGGGAAACCCUGAUGCAGCGACGCCGCGUGAGCGAUGAAGCCCUUCGGGGUGUAAAGCUCUUUCGGCAGGGAAGAUUAUGACGGUACCUGCAGAAGCAGCUGCGGCUAACUACGUGCCAGCAGCCGCGGUAAUACGUAGGCAGCAAGCGUUGUUCGGAGUUACUGGGCGUAAAGGGUGUGUAGGUGGCCUGUUAAGUUCCGUGUGAAAUCUCCCGGCUCAACCGGGAGGGUGCGCGGAAAACUGGCGGGCUAGAGUACGGGAUGGGAGAGUAGAAUUCCUGGUGUAGCGGUGAAAUGCGUAGAUAUCAGGAGGAAUACCGGUGGUGUAGACGGCUCUCUGGACCGUAACUGACACUGAGACACGAAAGCGUGGGUAGCAAACAGGAUUAGAUACCCUGGUAGUCCACGCCCUAAACGAUGCAUAUUUGGUGUAGGCAGUUCAUUCUGUCUGUGCCGGAGCUAACGCGUUAAAUAUGCCGCCUGGGGAGUACAGUCGCAAGACUGAAACUCAAAGGAAUUGACGGAAUCGAAUU